GAACCUUCGGGGAACGAUAACGGCGUCGAGCGGCGGACGGGUGAGUAAUGCCUAGGAAAUUGCCUUGAUGUGGGGGAUAACCAUUGGAAACGAUGGCUAAUACCGCAUAAUGCCUACGGGCCAAAGAGGGGGACCUUCGGGCCUCUCGCGUCAAGAUAUGCCUAGGUGGGAUUAGCUAGUUGGUGAGGUAAUGGCUCACCAAGGCGACGAUCCCUAGCUGGUCUGAGAGGAUGAUCAGCCACACUGGAACUGAGACACGGUCCAGACUCCUACGGGAGGCAGCAGUGGGGAAUAUUGCACAAUGGGCGCAAGCCUGAUGCAGCCAUGCCGCGUGUAUGAAGAAGGCCUUCGGGUUGUAAAGUACUUUCAGCAGUGAGGAAGGGGGUGUCGUUAAUAGCGGCAUCUCUUGACGUUAGCUGCAGAAGAAGCACCGGCUAACUCCGUGCCAGCAGCCGCGGUAAUACGGAGGGUGCGAGCGUUAAUCGGAAUUACUGGGCGUAAAGCGCAUGCAGGUGGUUUGUUAA
Molecule: ribosomal RNA, 524 nt
Filed under: Vibrio fortis
Lineage: Bacteria; Pseudomonadati; Pseudomonadota; Gammaproteobacteria; Vibrionales; Vibrionaceae
Description: bacterial SSU rRNA
Rfam family: Bacterial small subunit ribosomal RNA
Source: RNAcentral